AACUGAUACUACCUGCGGGAACCUGCGGAAGGAUCAUUAAUGAACACUAGGGUGCUCUUUUAACAAGAGGCCCGACCUUCAUCCUUCUACACUGUGCACCAUUAUUCAAUUCGGUCGGCUGGUAGUUUGGCCCGUCUCUCGGGCCUUACGACGCUGCCGCCGAGUUGUUUCACUUUUAAACUCUACAAGUCUAAGAAUGUAACAAACCUGAAACAAAAGAAAAACUUUUAACAACGGAUC
Molecule: unclassified non-coding RNA, 240 nt
Filed under: soil metagenome
Description: partial contains 5.8S ribosomal RNA, internal transcribed spacer 2, and large subunit ribosomal RNA
Source: RNAcentral